Acanthosepion pharaonis is the source of this 109-nucleotide non-coding RNA. Lineage: Eukaryota; Metazoa; Mollusca; Cephalopoda; Sepiida; Sepiidae. The record is from the annotation of a GenBank genome assembly.
GCCAUAUCACAUUGCGAAACCAGUUUCUGUACGAUCACCAAAGUUAAGCAAUGUCAAGCUUGGUCAGUACAUAGAUGGGUGACCACUUAGAAAUACCAGGUGCUGUAAG